RNAcentral lists this ribosomal RNA (254 nucleotides) under uncultured bacterium. Its description in RNAcentral is "partial 16S ribosomal RNA". It matches the Rfam family "Bacterial small subunit ribosomal RNA", at positions 524 to 776 of the family's 1533-position model. The record is from RNAcentral.
UACGUAGGGAGCGAGCGUUGUCCGGAUUUAUUGGGCGUAAAGAGCGCGUAGGCGGUUCGGCAAGUCGGGUGUGAAAACUCCAAGCUCAACUUGGAGCCUGCAUCCGAAACUGCUGUGACUAGAGUCAGGUAGGGGAACACGGAAUUCCAGGUGUAGUGGUGAAAUGCUUAGAUAUCUGGAGGAACACCAGUGGCGAAGGCGGUGUUCUGGGCCUGUACUGACGCUGAGGCGCGAAAGCGUGGGGAGCGAACAGG